Molecule: ribosomal RNA, 301 nt
Filed under: uncultured bacterium
Lineage: Bacteria
Description: partial 16S ribosomal RNA
Rfam family: Bacterial small subunit ribosomal RNA
Source: RNAcentral
CAGCCGCCGCGGGAAUACGUAGGGUGCGAGCGUUAAUCGGAAUUACUGGGCGUAAAGCGUGCGCAGGCGGUUCGUUAAGACAGAUGUGAAAUCCCCGGGCUUAACCUGGGAACUGCAUUUGUGACUGACGGGCUAGAGUAUGGCAGAGGGGGGUAGAAUUCCACGUGUAGCAGUGAAAUGCGUAGAGAUGUGGAGGAAUACCGAUGGCGAAGGCAGCCCCCUGGGCCAAUACUGACGCUCAUGCACGAAAGCGUGGGGAGCAAACAGGAUUAGAUACCCCCGUAGUCCCUGUCUCUUAUAA